GCCUGUCUGGCUCAGUUGCCAGAGUAUGUGACUCUUAAUCUUGAGGUCAUGGGUUCAAGCCCCAUGCCAGGUG
RNAcentral lists this transfer RNA (73 nucleotides) under Felis catus (domestic cat). It matches the Rfam family "tRNA". From Rfam's summary of the family: Transfer RNA (tRNA) molecules are approximately 80 nucleotides in length. Their secondary structure includes four short double-helical elements and three loops (D, anti-codon, and T loops). Lineage: Eukaryota; Metazoa; Chordata; Mammalia; Carnivora; Felidae. RNAcentral also lists the same sequence under 3 other names. The record is from Rfam by way of RNAcentral.